GGAGAGGUACUCAAGCGGUAAAGAGGAUAGUUUGCUAAACUAUUAGGUCAAUUAAUUUGAUACGAGGGUUCAAAUCCCUUCCUCUCUUCCA
Molecule: transfer RNA, 91 nt
Filed under: Clostridioides difficile
Lineage: Bacteria; Bacillati; Bacillota; Clostridia; Peptostreptococcales; Peptostreptococcaceae
Also listed under: 1 other name
Description: tRNA-Ser
Rfam family: tRNA
About the family: Transfer RNA (tRNA) molecules are approximately 80 nucleotides in length. Their secondary structure includes four short double-helical elements and three loops (D, anti-codon, and T loops).
Source: RNAcentral